RNAcentral lists this ribosomal RNA (441 nucleotides) under uncultured bacterium. RNAcentral describes it as "partial 16S ribosomal RNA". It matches the Rfam family "Bacterial small subunit ribosomal RNA", at positions 338 to 795 of the family's 1533-position model. The record is from RNAcentral.
CCUACGGGUGGCAGCAGUGGGGGAUAUUGCACAAUGGGGGGAACCCUGAUGCAGCGACGCCGCGUGGGUGAAGGAGUGCUUCGGCAUGUAAAGCCCUAUCUGCAGGGAAGAAGCAAGACGGUACCUGACUAAUACGCCCCGGCUAACUACGUGCAAGCAGCCGCGGUAAUUCGUAGGGGGCGAGCGUUAUCCGGAUUCACUGGGUGUAACGGGAGCGUAGAGGGGCAAGCGAGCCAGGGGUGGACGCCCGGGGCCCAACCCCGGGAUUGCCCUUGAGACUGGAUGGCGGGAGUGCGGGAGGGGCAGGCGGAAUUCGGGGUGUAGCGGUGAAAUGCGUAGAUAUCAGGAGGAACACCGGCGGCGAAGGCGGCCUGCUGGACCGCGACUGACGUUGAGGCUCGAAAGCGUGGGGAGCGAACAGGAUUAGAUACCCUGGUAGUC